RNAcentral lists this ribosomal RNA (506 nucleotides) under uncultured bacterium. RNAcentral describes it as "partial 16S ribosomal RNA". It matches the Rfam family "Bacterial small subunit ribosomal RNA", at positions 29 to 523 of the family's 1533-position model. The record is from RNAcentral.
AGUGAACGCUGGCGGUAGGCCUAACACAUGCAAGUCGAACGGCAGCACAGGAGAGCUUGCUCUCUGGGUGGCGAGUGGCGGACGGGUGAGGAAUACAUCGGAAUCUACUCUGUCGUGGGGGAUAACGUAGGGAAACUUACGCUAAUACCGCAUACGACCCACGGGUGAAAGCAGGGGACCUUCGGGCCUUGCGCGAUUGAAUGAGCCGAUGUCGGAUUAGCUAGUUGGCGGGGCAAAGGCCCACCAAGGCGACGAUCCGUAGGUGGUCUGAGAGUGUGGACAGCCACACUGGAACUGAGACACGGUGCAGAAUCCGACGGGAGUCAGCAGUGGGGAAUAUGGGACAAGGGGCGCAAGCCUGAUCCAGCCAUACCGCGUGGGUGAAGAAGGCCUUCGGGUUGUAAAGCCCUUUUGUUGGGAAAGAAAUCCAGCUGGCUAAUACCCGGUUGGGAUGACGGUACCCAAAGAAUAAGCACCGGCUAACUUCGUGCCAGCCGCCGCUGUAA